AAAUUUUAUAUUUUGAUUUGAAGGUUGAUCCUACCUUAAUUUUUGAUUAAUUUAUAGAUGAUAUUAAAUAUAAGUUUUUGCGUGAUUAGAAUAUAUCUUAAGGGUGAUUUUUAUUUUAUUUGUAGUUUUUAAUUUUGAUUAUUUAUAUAAUUGUAGAUUCAGUUGAUCUAUUUAGAAUUGUACAAGGCUGUGCCAGCAUACGCGGUUAUACAGUUAAUUCAAGUUAAUUUAUUUUGGUUUUUAUU
This 245-nucleotide ribosomal RNA is filed under the name Hypselonotus bitrianguliger. RNAcentral describes it as "partial small subunit ribosomal RNA". Lineage: Eukaryota; Metazoa; Arthropoda; Insecta; Hemiptera; Coreidae. The record is from RNAcentral.